Long non-coding RNA from Scylla paramamosain (green mud crab), 1441 nucleotides. RefSeq lists it as uncharacterized. The record is from RefSeq and is a predicted model, not a curated record. The transcript is spliced from 3 exons. NCBI's taxonomy places the organism in Eukaryota, Metazoa, Arthropoda, Malacostraca, Decapoda, Portunidae.
AUAUUCUACUCUGGGAAGAUAUGCUAGGUAAGAAAUAUUUCUUGUUAUCUCAACUGAAACAUUUAGUAAUAUGAAAUUUUGAGGAAGUAUGAUGAGAAGAAUAAUAAAAGCAUAAAAGUAGUUACAUGCGCAUCGAUAUUUCCAACUGGUAAACCGCCAUUUUUUUUUUUUUGUCCACGAUUACGAGGUGCCCACCAGGCGCCAAACGCCAGUUCCAGACUAGUAGCUGCAUCUUUAUCCUGUACCUUGUGAGACCCAGGCCUGUACCUUCAUCAAGCCUGAUACUACCUGCUUACUGCACUUCUGGGACACUAGAGGCUGUGUUGACGCUGUUGCUGAGGCUUAACUACACGGCCUCAUCAAAAACACCACCAAGGGCACAGCCAACCAAUAUUCUACCUACCUACCUCCUAAGGCCCUAAGACCAAAGGCCCUUGCAUCCAACAACAUUCCUGGUCUCCUCCCUCGCAUGGGAAUCAAGAUUUACUACAGCAAGAUAUAUGCUGGCAAUUGAUGGUGUUGUUGUCACUGAGCAUAUUGCCACAUUUACCACUGGCCUAGCUUUGCUGUUGGCCUCCUAUUACUACUUCAUUAUAAUGUACCCCAUGGAUUCUGCAUCAACACCUGAGUUCAUUCAAAGAUGCUGUCAGCCACUACAAUUGUGAUACUCAAGUGGAUGAAACUUCUCUUCCAUUCUUGCUGAUGUACUUAAAUAUUUUUUUUUUCUUAAUGAUGUGUCAAUGAUUAUAAUGGUGAUGCUGUAAAGGUGAUGUACUUAAAUGCCUAGGUUCAUUAUCUAUUUUUUUUCUGGAAUGCUCUUUUUAAUGGUAUAAUGAUGAUUAUAUAAUAAUGGUGAUGAUGAUGAUGAUGUCAAGUUUUCUCCUUGCAAGUAUAAUGAUGAUUAUAAUGGUGGUGAUGAUGAUGAUGAUGAUAAAGGUUUUCUCCAUGAUUGGUGUUGCAUAGUUAAAUACCUAGGUUCAUAUUUUUUUUUCUGGAAUGCUCUUUUUUAUUGGUGUGUGCAGUGAUUAUAAUGGUGAUGAUGAUGUUGAUGAUGUAAAGUUCUUUCCACGCUGGUUUAUGUAUAGUUAAAUGCCUAGGUUCUUUAUGAUUUUUUUUCAUUUCUGGAAUUGUCUUUUAAUGAAGUGUAAUGAUGAUGAUGAUAAUGUAAAGUUCUCUACAUGCUUGCUGAUGCAGUGAAAUGCUUAGAUUUAUUAUUACUUUUAUAUAUUUAUUUAUCAUUUUUUAGGAAUGCUCUGAUGAAGAGUCAAGUAAUUGAUUAAAUUGUAUAGUGUGGUUUAGUAGAAAUAUUUUUGCAAGUUUAUCUAAUGUAUUUUUAGUUUUAAAAAUGUGCUCAGGUAAUUUCUCCUUUUACCUCAUUUUGAUUUUGAAGCCUCUUAUCUAGUUCAUCUUUUACAUGAGAACAUGAGGAAAAUGUAGGCUG